GGAGAGGAUUGCUUUUGGGAUGACUGAAAGUUCAGAUUCAAUGCCAUGUACAAGAUACAGUGAGUGCACCUGGCAGCAGAGGCUCUCCUGGUUCAGUGGGUUGCAACUUUAAGGUGUUCCCUAGAAGAAACUUCUUGCUUCCUGGCAGUGCUCAUUACACACUUCAAGAUAGCCUUUUCUUCAGGACCUGGUGUAUUUUGUAUCUCUUCACAAACAAACAGUGAAAAGAUCUGAAUUACAAUAAGAUGCCUCUGCCUUCCAUCACAACUGGCUGUCAACUCUCUUGAAAGGCUGUUUUCUAAACCAGAGUGAUGCCUCAGGUGCAGAAGAGAGAGACAAUAAUUAACAAUGUGGCCUACAGCAUCUUGGGGAACAAUUAAUUUUAGUGAAUGGACAGGGGGAGGAAGAGAGAAGCAAAACGAGAACUCAUGAAAACAGUGGGAAUACAUACAUCCUAUUGCUCAGGCUGAUGGUUACAGCAGUGGCUUCUUUCAGCCUCAGGUCCCUGCUCCCUAUCAUUUGUAGGACAGUAUUUAAUCUCCGUCAUGACUCCAGCCAGUCAGACACAAGACAUGUUGGCACUUUUCUGAGAGUAUGUUUAGCUGCCCAUGCAGAUGCAGCCUUGCUCUGUGAUUUGAUUCCUCUUU
Molecule: long non-coding RNA, 647 nt
Organism: Poecile atricapillus (Black-capped chickadee)
Lineage: Eukaryota; Metazoa; Chordata; Aves; Passeriformes; Paridae
Exons: 5
Source: RefSeq, a predicted model, not a curated record